GAUGAACGCUAGCGAUAGGCCUAACACAUGCAAGUCGAGGGGCAUCACAUGAAGUAGCAAUACGGAUGGUGGCGACCGGCGCACGGGUGAGUAACACGUAUGCAACCUGCCUUCAACAAGGGGAUAACCCGUUGAAAGACGGACUAAUACCCUAUAACACAGGGGUCCCGCAUGGGAAUAUUUGUUAAAGGACAACCGGUUGAAGAUGGGCAUGCGUUCCAUUAGCUAGUUGGCGGGGUAACGGCCCACCAAGGCAACGAUGGAUAGGGGAACUGAGAGGUUUAUCCCCCACACUGGUACUGAGACACGGACCAGACUCCUACGGGAGGCAGCAGUGAGGAAUAUUGGUCAAUGGGCGAGAGCCUGAACCAGCCAAGUCGCGUGCAGGAAGAAUGUCCUAUGGAUUGUAAACUGCUUUUGCAGGGGAAUAAAGUGAGCCACGUGUGGUUUUUGUAUGUACUCUGCGAAUAAGGAUCGGCUAACUCCGUGCCAGCAG
RNAcentral lists this ribosomal RNA (496 nucleotides) under uncultured bacterium. Its description in RNAcentral is "bacterial SSU rRNA". It matches the Rfam family "Bacterial small subunit ribosomal RNA", at positions 28 to 514 of the family's 1533-position model. The record is from RNAcentral.